Molecule: ribosomal RNA, 300 nt
Filed under: uncultured Alteromonadaceae bacterium
Lineage: Bacteria; Pseudomonadati; Pseudomonadota; Gammaproteobacteria; Alteromonadales; Alteromonadaceae
Description: bacterial SSU rRNA
Rfam family: Bacterial small subunit ribosomal RNA
Source: RNAcentral
CGCGUGGGAAUCUACCCAGUAGUGGGGGACAACAGUUGGAAACGACUGCUAAUACCGCAUACGCCCUACGGGGGAAAGGGGGAGUCUUCGGACCUCCUGCUAUUGGAUGAGCCCGCCGUAAGAUUAGCUAGUUGGUGGGGUAAAGGCCUACCAAGGCGACGAUCUUUAGCUGGUCUGAGAGGAUGAUCAGCCACACUGGAACUGAGACACGGUCCAGACUCCUACGGGAGGCAGCAGUGGGGAAUAUUGCACAAUGGGCGAAAGCCUGAUGCAGCCAUGCCGCGUGUGUGAAGAAGGCUC